AAUAUCAUAGACUUUUAGCCAUUUAUCAUUGUUGUUUCAAUUAACUCUACGCUCACAAGGGAUACCAACAAAGCAACCCAUGAAAGUGGUUGUCGGCUCGUGCUGAGCACAAACCAAUACGGUAAAUGGUCGUCUGGUUAUAUUCUCUGACAGGAUUGGACAAGAUGCCUAACCCUAUAACGCAAGUGUUACCACCAAGUUUCCAUAGCUAAAAAGUAAGUGGCUAACCUGAACCAAAACAGAAAAAAUAUGAAUUCUCGUAGCUUUACUCAAAAAGAUCUUGUAAACCAUUAUUCAAGGGAUCCUUCCAUCCUAUUCCUAGUUCUGCUAUGAUUAUUUCAGCUAAUUAUUUUUGGGCAACAAAAAGAAACGAGUCUCUGAUAUGAAAAACAAUAAUAAAUUGCAUCAUUUCUUGAAUAUGUAAUUUCAACAAGCAAACGUAAAUAGAAACUCCAACAUACACACGUUGUAGCAACAACAACAAUAAACUCGGUAUAUUCCCAUCAAGUGAGAUCUGGAAAAGGUAAUAUCGAUGCAGGCCUUACUCUUACCUAAUAAACGUAGAGAAGUUGUUUCCAAUAUACUUUCAGCAAACAUACACAGAUUACAGAACAACCAUAAUUUUCAAUAGUUUUCUAUGGCGGUGAAGUUAACAAAAUGAAUCAAGCAACAAUAAUGCCAAUACCCAAGUAGCAAAGUUGACACCAACCGGACAUGUUGUCAAAGAAAUGGCAACAACAUUCGUCUCCUCAUAGAAAUUGAGACAUUUUUGGACUAAGCAUCCAAAUCCAAGCUGUAGUAGGGAAUUUUUUUGAGGAGAUAAGUGGCAAUAUAAGAUGAUCGGAUAUGAUUUUAGUAACGUAGACAAGAAUAUAUUGCCUUGUAUUGCUAUGGCAAUUACUAAGCCUAUAUUCAAUUACUAUAAUAUUGCACUUAUCUCCUCGAAAAAUCCACUAUCUAUACUAUAUUAAGCCCUUAGCGAAAUAUAACUAGCCUGUUUUAUCUUUUAAAAAUAAAGUUUAAACUAGAUAUAAUAGUCAUUCAAUAAUUUUUUCCUAAUAUUUAGGAUAUUGAAAAUAAAAAACAACUAACAUUUUAAUUACUAAGUUUUUCCAUAUUUGAAAUAUAUAGAAAAUAUGUAAUAUUUGGAAACAUAAUUAAAGAACCUCGUAUGGUACACUUGAUGUAGGCGCUUAUUUGAAUUCCUACCAUAUAAUUAAAACAUAAUUAGCAUUAAAAUAAUAAAACUUUAAAAUUAUAAAAUUUAAAGGUUAAAUAAAAUGUUGAAAUAAAUAUUAAAAAUUCAAAAAAAGUCAAUUAGAUAACUUCUAUAGUUGGCGGAAACACCAAAACUCAAAGUUAUAUUUCUAAUUUAUUGAGCAAGCUAAAUAAGAUCAAUAUUUAUUGUUUUCAAUAACUUUUAUUUUCAAAAUUUUAAUUUUAUAAUGAAAGCAUAUUAUUUUUAUACCGACUCAAGUACACAUACAAAGCACGUAUCAAUACACUACUAGUCCAAAACGCCUCCGUCUCUUUAACAAGAUAUAUUUCUGGGAAAAUCAGAGAUCCCCCCAAUCUCAUCUUCUUGAUCAUCAUUCUGUUCACAACACAAGUCAACCUAUAAUCAACAUUUAACAAAUAACCUUCAAUAUACCUCAAGGUUAAGGAUUACACAUAUUUUCAACUUAUUAUGCAAGAUAUUCUUCUAUUCCAUAUUAUGGAAUCAUUUUGCUUUGACCCAAAUCAACAUUUCACUUAUGCAUGUUGGGAUUUUUAAUUAAGUCUGCCUUUAUUCUUCAGGCUAAUUUCCCACUGCCAGUAGUGAAACAAUUUCGGUAUAUAAACACUUAGAAUGGAAGGGCUUGUUCAUAGAUAUGAAUAACCAAGCACAGACAAAUUUAUGAUCUCAUCUUUAUGGGUUUUAGAUUUUAAAAGGAUGAAUUCAAAUGCUAAUAAUUACUUUCUUAUGUUCAUAAGAAAUGAUCAAUUAUAAAAUGUAUUUUAGUGCACAUCAAUUGUUGAAUUUUUAAGUAUACACAUUUAUUUAGUAUCUUAGAGAGAGAAGCUCUGCCUUCUCUUUAACCUGCUGCUUCAUCUUCUUCUUCUCUGCUACCUCUGCAUAUGUAGGUUAACCUGCGCUGAGGGUGCUAUGGCGAGAGGGAGAGGCCGACCUAAGAAAGUCCUGGUGCCAAUUUAUGCAAGCGACACUGUUUUCC
RNAcentral lists this long non-coding RNA (2213 nucleotides) under Nicotiana benthamiana. Its description in RNAcentral is "long non-coding RNA (NBEN_LNC029920)". The record is from RNAcentral. Lineage: Eukaryota; Viridiplantae; Streptophyta; Magnoliopsida; Solanales; Solanaceae.